AGAGUUUGAUCAUGGCUCAGAUUGAACGCUGGCGGAAUGCUUUACACAUGCAAGUCGAACGGCAGCACGGGGCAACCUGGUGGCGAGUGGCGAACGGGUGAGUAAUACAUCGGAACGUGCCCAAUCGUGGGGGGUAACGUAGCGAAAGUUACGCUAAUACCGCAUACGAUCUACGGAUGAAAGCGGGGGAUCGCAAGACCUCGCGCGAGUGGAGCGGCCGAUGUCAGAUUAGGUAGUUGGUGGGGUAAAGGCUCACCAAGCCAACGAUCUGUAGCUGGUCUGAGAGGACGACCAGCCACACUGGAACUGAGACACGGUCCAGACUCCUACGGGAGGCAGCAGUGGGGAAUUUUGGACAAUGGGCGCAAGCCUGAUCCAGCCAUUCCGCGUGCAGGAUGAAGGCCUUCGGGUUGUAAACUGCUUUUGUACGGAACGAAACGGCGAGCUCUAAUACAGUUUGCUAAUGACGGUACCGUAAGAAUAAGCACCGGCUAACUACGUG
RNAcentral lists this ribosomal RNA (502 nucleotides) under uncultured bacterium. RNAcentral describes it as "bacterial SSU rRNA". It matches the Rfam family "Bacterial small subunit ribosomal RNA", at positions 8 to 507 of the family's 1533-position model. The record is from RNAcentral.